RNAcentral lists this ribosomal RNA (253 nucleotides) under uncultured bacterium. RNAcentral's name for it is "partial 16S ribosomal RNA". It matches the Rfam family "Bacterial small subunit ribosomal RNA", at positions 524 to 776 of the family's 1533-position model. The record is from RNAcentral.
UACGUAGGGGGCAAGCGUUGUCCGGAUUUACUGGGCGUAAAGGGUGUGUAGGCGGUUGCUUAAGUUUGGUGUGAAAUCUCCCGGCUCAACUGGGAGGGUGCGCCGAAUACUGAGUGACUAGAGUGCGGGAGAGGAAAGUGGAAUUCCUGGUGUAGCGGUGAAAUGCGUAGAUAUCAGGAGGAACACCGGUGGUGUAGACGGCUUUCUGGACCGUAACUGACGCUGAGACACGAAAGCGUGGGUAGCAAACAGG